UACGGGGGGGGCUAGCGUUGUUCGGAAUUAUUGGGCGUAAAGAGCUCGUAGGCGGUGUGUCGCGUCGGCCGUGAAAACCUGCAGCUUAACUGUGGGCUUGCGGUCGAUACGGGCAUCACUGGAGUUCGGCAGGGGAGACUGGAAUUCCUGGUGUAGCGGUGAAAUGCGCAGAUAUCAGGAGGAACACCGGUGGCGAAGGCGGGUCUCUGGGCCGAUACUGACGCUGAGGAGCGAAAGCGUGGGGAGCGAACAGG
This 254-nucleotide ribosomal RNA is filed under the name uncultured bacterium. RNAcentral's name for it is "partial 16S ribosomal RNA". It matches the Rfam family "Bacterial small subunit ribosomal RNA", at positions 524 to 776 of the family's 1533-position model. The record is from RNAcentral.